Molecule: ribosomal RNA, 173 nt
Filed under: Tricholomataceae sp.
Lineage: Eukaryota; Fungi; Basidiomycota; Agaricomycetes; Agaricales; Tricholomataceae
Description: partial large subunit ribosomal RNA
Source: RNAcentral
GGGUCAGCAUCAGUUUUGGUCGGUGGAAAAAGGUGUAGAGAACGUGGCAUCUUCGGGUGUGUUAUAGCUCUGCAUUGGAUACGCCGGCUGGGACUGAGGAACUCAGCACGCCGCAAGGCCGGGUACUUGUACCUCGUACGUGCUUAGGAUGCUGGCAUAAUGGCUUUAAUCGA